CCUACGGGGGGCAGCAGUGGGGAAUAUUGGACAAUGGGCGAAAGCCUGAUCCAGCCAUGCCGCGUGUGUGAAGAAGGCCUUCGGGUUGUAAAGCACUUUCAGUGGGGAAGAAAGCCUUGGGGCUAAUACCCUCGAGGAAGGACAUCACCCACAGAAGAAGCACCGGCUAACUCCGGGCCAGCAGCCGCGGUAAUACGGAGGGUGCGAGCGUUAAUCGGAAUUACUGGGCGUAAAGCGCGCGUAGGCGGUCUGAUAAGCCGGUUGUGAAAGCCCCGGGCUCAACCUGGGAACGGCAUCCGGAACUGUCAGGCUAGAGUGCAGGAGAGGAAGGUAGAAUUCCCGGUGUAGCGGUGAAAUGCGUAGAGAUCGGGAGGAAUACCAGUGGCGAAGGCGGCCUUCUGGACUGACACUGACGCUGAGGUGCGAAAGCGUGGGUAGCAAACAGGAUUAGAUACCCCUGUAGUC
Molecule: ribosomal RNA, 465 nt
Filed under: Vreelandella stevensii
Lineage: Bacteria; Pseudomonadati; Pseudomonadota; Gammaproteobacteria; Oceanospirillales; Halomonadaceae
Description: partial 16S ribosomal RNA
Rfam family: Bacterial small subunit ribosomal RNA
Source: RNAcentral